UACGGAGGGGGCUAGCGUUGUUCGGAAUUAUUGGGCGUAAAGAGCUCGUAGGCGGUGUGUCGCGUCGGUCGUGAAAACUUGGGGCUUAACCCUGAGCUUGCGGUCGAUACGGGCAUCACUGGAGUUCGGCAGGGGAGACUGGAAUUCCUGGUGUAGCGGUGAAAUGCGCAGAUAUCAGGAGGAACACCGGUGGCGAAGGCGGGUCUCUGGGCCGAUACUGACGCUGAGGAGCGAAAGCGUGGGGAGCGAACAGG
RNAcentral lists this ribosomal RNA (254 nucleotides) under uncultured bacterium. RNAcentral describes it as "partial 16S ribosomal RNA". It matches the Rfam family "Bacterial small subunit ribosomal RNA", at positions 524 to 776 of the family's 1533-position model. The record is from RNAcentral.